This 599-nucleotide ribosomal RNA is filed under the name uncultured bacterium. RNAcentral's name for it is "bacterial SSU rRNA". It matches the Rfam family "Bacterial small subunit ribosomal RNA", at positions 202 to 802 of the family's 1533-position model. The record is from RNAcentral.
UAAAGAAUUUCGGUAUGGGAUGGGGAUGCGUUCCAUUAGUUAGUUGGCGGGGUAACGGCCCACCAAGACAACGAUGGAUAGGGGUUCUGAGAGGAAGGUCCCCCACAUUGGAACUGAGACACGGUCCAAACUCCUACGGGAGGCAGCAGUGAGGAAUAUUGGUCAAUGGACGAGAGUCUGAACCAGCCAAGUAGCGUGAAGGAUGACUGCCCUACGGGUUGUAAACUUCUUUUAUAUGGGAAUAAAAUGUUCCACGUGUGGGAUUUUGUAUGUACCAUAUGAAUAAGGAUCGGCUAACUCCGUGCCAGCAGCCGCGGUAAUACGGAGGAUCCGAGCGUUAUCCGGAUUUAUUGGGUUUAAAGGGAGCGUAGGUGGAUUGUUAAGUCAGUUGUGAAAGUUUGCGGCUCAACCGUAAAAUUGCAGUUGAAACUGGCAGUCUUGAGUACAGUAGAGGUGGGCGGAAUUCGUGGUGUAGCGGUGAAAUGCUUAGAUAUCACGAAGAACUCCGAUUGCGAAGGCAGCUCACUGGACUGCAACUGACACUGAGGCUCGAAAGUGUGGGUAUCAAACAGGAUUAGAUACCCUGGUAGUCCACACAG